Molecule: unclassified non-coding RNA, 337 nt
Organism: Fukomys damarensis (Damara mole-rat)
Lineage: Eukaryota; Metazoa; Chordata; Mammalia; Rodentia; Bathyergidae
Gene: 7SK
Rfam family: 7SK RNA
About the family: 7SK was discovered as an abundant small nuclear RNA in the mid-70s but a possible function has only recently been suggested.
Source: Ensembl
GGAUGUGAGGGCGAUCUGGCUGCGACCUCUGUCACCCCAUUGAUUGCCAGGGUUGAUUCAGCUGAUACGGCUGGCUAGGCGGGUAUCCCCUUCCUCCCUCACUGCUCCAUGUGCAUCCCUCGUGAAGCUGCACACUCAGUGGAAGAGGACGACCACCCCAGAAAAGAGGAGGACCAUUUCCUCUGUCCAAGGUACCUGAGAAGUUGCACUCCCUUGCUAGAACCUCCAAACAAGCUCUCAAAGCACUCAUUAACAAACCACUAUAUCAGUUCCCGGUUGCUGCUAUAACAAAGCAUCGAAAACUUUGAGGCUUACACCAGUACAAAUGUAUUAUCUC